This is a long non-coding RNA of Stegostoma tigrinum, 420 nucleotides long. RefSeq lists it as uncharacterized. The record is from RefSeq and is a predicted model, not a curated record. Lineage: Eukaryota; Metazoa; Chordata; Chondrichthyes; Orectolobiformes; Stegostomatidae. The transcript has 3 exons.
GGCUUGACUGAGAAGUAGAGCAAACCGCUUUUUCGGUGGUACAGCUCAACAAUAAUGCUGUAACACGCGUGAUAUGAUGCCACCAAUAAUUACCCAUCAAUUCACGAAUGACCCAUUGAAAAUUUUCUUCAAUUAGAAGAAUGUAGUUCCAUACGAUAACGGGUGAAAAUUUGUGGCAACAGACACUUGAAGCUAAGUAAAGGAAAGCAAGCUGACUCCACCCAGGUGGAAGACAUGGCCCUACAGUGGAGAUACCACCAAACUGGAAAAGAAUAAAAAUGUAAAGCAAACUCUGCAUGCCUCACCAAGGACUGCUCAAGUUAAUUGGUCAAGGAGAAUGCAGUUGCUUGCCCUAUUCAAAUAGGGUUAGGAUCCUCCGUAGCGAGCAUUGCACUGAUUUGGGUUUCUAAAUAUCUCAAA